Molecule: ribosomal RNA, 403 nt
Filed under: uncultured prokaryote
Description: bacterial SSU rRNA
Rfam family: Bacterial small subunit ribosomal RNA
Source: RNAcentral
UGGGGAAUCAUGGUCAAUGGGCGAAAGCCUGAACUAGCAACACCGCGUGUGCGAAGAAGGCCUUCGGGUUGUAAAGCACUUUUUGAGGGGAUGAGGAAGGACGGUACUCUCAGAAUAAGUCUCGGCUAACUACGUGCCAGCAGCCGCGGUAACACGUAGGAGGCAAACGUUAUCCGGAUUUACUGGGCGUAAAGCGCGUGUAGGUGGUUUGGUAAGUAGAGCGUGAAAGCUCCUGGCUCAACUGGGAGAGGUCGUUCUAAACUGCCGGACUAGAGGAUGGUAGAGGGAGGUGGAAUUCCGGGUGUAGCGGUGGAAUGCGCAGAUAUCCGGAGGAACACCAGUGGCGAAAGCGGCCUCGUGGACCACUCCUGACACUCAGACGCGAAAGCUAGGGUAGCAAACG